GGCCACACCCGAGAUGAAAAAAAAGAGCGAACUCCCUCGUCCAAUUCUAAUCAGGGGCGAGUAAUAAUCGGAAAAAAAAUAAAAAAAACCAGGGGCGGAGUGGACGAGGGGUGCGAGCUCCGAGCGGCGGUUGGGCUCCGGCGUCGUGAUGCUCCACGGCGUUGGGAGCGGCACGUGGGAUCGACGUCUCUAGAGGGUGGUCUUAGUUUCGGGCAACGCGGCGGGCCGAGCCGUCGUGUUGCGACGUCGGUAGUGCUUGGCGUCAGGGCUGCAUCUCCCGUGUGGACGGCCCCUCGUCGGCACAGUCGCCGGCGACGAACACUCGGCCGAAGACGGGGCCGCGCCAUGAACCAGGGUUUAGCGGCGUCCUCGGCUGGACGACAAGCUGGUCGUGGGUGGGCGGCGCGGCGAGUCGUGUCUACUUCUUGAAGAGGGUACAGUGGUGGUUGGCAUUCUACAUGAUGCGGGCGGUAUCUCCUCCUACGACAACGGUCGGCAACUAGCUGUUUGCAGCCCUCCGUCAUUUUACAUGAGUAUGUCUUGAUUUACUCUCCCAUGCGAAAUAUUUGCUUGAAUUAAGUUAGAUCAGUAAGAAAACUAGGUAGCAGAAUUAGGAUGGAUUACGUCCCCAAAUAUAUUUCUUUUGGGCAUAGCUAUCAUACAAGCUUACAUCAGAUUGGCAGCUGUUCAUUUCUACAAAAUUCUGGUGUAGUGUUGUGAUUUCCCAGAUGAGUGUUGUGUUAUGUGAAAAUUAUCAUUAAACAUAUGUGAAUAGGAGAAAAAAAUGUAAAAUAGCACAAAACAGAUACAUCCAGCAAGGUAUUUUCUAUGGAAUGGUUUCAAUGCUCAAUGUUAUGAAAAACACAUCCGCAUGCACAUUACAUAUGGAGCACGAUGCGCCGCCUAGAACUAGUCAGAUAUUUUACUUUGCACGAAAUUUGGUGAUCUUAACCACAGAAAAUAAAAAAAUACCUCAAAUGUAUUUUCAUUACUAUCAAAUUUAAUGUGAUUUGAUUGUUAUUAUCGGGGAGGUGAUACGUUCUAUUUUGCAAGCGUUCAUAGGACCAAAGCCAGAGUUUACAGCAGUUAUGGGAGAAAACAAAGAAGGGUGGGGAUUAGGACCCAGCGGCCACAGACGAAAUCUGAACCCAAAGUACCAAACCACGUUUCGUUUUGUUUUUUAGGCCCCUAUGCUUCUAGAACUAUUAUCCAAUUUGAUGGCUGCUACUUGGUGCGUGUGCUGGGUGUCCAUGAGGUACUUCUCGGCAGCAGCAUUGCCUCUCAAUUUGCCAACAAGAUCCAUUCAGAUUGUUUAAUCACUGACUCUAGGAUCCAUGCCUACUCUAGGUAGAACUUCAGUAAGCUGCAGAAAUAAACAAUAGAAAGGGUAAAGAACCACUAAGCAUGCCAUUUACCUGAUAUGGCCCAGAUUGUUUUAUUUGAACACCAUAUGGUCCAAAUUGUAACCAAGUAAAACUGCAUGCUCGUCAAAUUUUGUAUGAUGAAACCAUAAUAUUAGCACUCUGAAUGCACGUUUUGAUUGACUACUACCCUGGAUGUCAUCCAUGUUAUUAGCUAUGUUUUGUUACAGGGGAUUUUGGGUACUGCCUGGAUGUGUUGCUUGAGCAGAAGACUUCCAUGUUUUUGUUCAUAGACCGUGUCAUUCUUAUUUUUCUUGUACUUAUCAUGUACUCCCUCCGUCCCAUAAUAUAAGAACGUUUUUGACACUAGUGUAGUGUCAACAACGUUCUUAUAUUAUGGGACAGAGGGAGUAGAUGUCAUGGUUUAUGGAAGAGUGUUCGGUUCAGCCAUAUACCAUAUACAUGUUGCCUAACAAGUUUGUUUUCUCAAUACAGAAGCUGUACAAUUAUAUGAAACUGAAAAUAUUUAGUUUUCUGGCCAUAACUCUGAAUUUUUAGUGACUUGUUGCUUCAUUAUGUGGUCAAUUUUUGGUUGCUACUAGCUUGCUGUAAUAUAGACUGUUGACUUGGACGAUAUAAUUUAUCAUGUUCCUUAAAAAAAAUUAUGUACAAUUUCUUCUCAUGGAUGUUAAUUAUCAUGUCAAGCUUUAAGCUCACACUCUUGGAGAUUUUUUGUUUACGAGGAGAAAUCAGAGGUUUGAGGUUCCUUUUGUUACUGUAUAGUUCUCUCAUUUUGAUCAUUAACAUAAUUCAAUUAGUUUUUGUUCUCAUCGGUCUACGACAUCAGUCGGAUUCAGAAAUUACGCUGGGUAAAACCUAUGUGUUUUGUAGUCUUUUUUUACGUUCCUUUUUGUCGUAAAAUUACAUCAAUAGCAUCUGGUUUCUUACAGCGAUUACCCUGGUUUAGUUCCUCACACAUCCACAACGUAACUUGCCUUGCAUGCACAUCGUAAGAUUACCUCAGAAGCCCUUUCUUACGGUGGUUCAGAGCGUGUGCUCGUGGGUGUGGCAUGUGGUUCGUCUGUGAGGUAAAUUUACGUUCAACUCUUUCUUUCCUAGUGGUUGUGGCUGUGGCGUGUGAUUCGGCUGGGGUGAGAUUCUUCACCCUGGGUGACGAAUAGCGAUUGACUCUGUGGGUUCAUCAUCACAAUACGCUUUUUUCCAUGAAUUUACGCUUUCAGUUCAAAUUUAAAACAUAUACGUGAUGUGGUACUAAAUUUCAUCCGUCCAGUUUCGUUUUCACAGCUUCCUAUCAGAUGGGCCAGAAAAUUUGCUAUGGGCCACGAGCCGCUGCCUACCCGGCUCCAGCCGAAUGCGCGCCGGCCGCUCUGGCAUGGCGGCGGGUUCAGCCUCGGCGUGGACCUAAAUGCUUCAUUUUUACAAAAAAAAAAUAUAUGUUUGUUUGAAAUACAGUCUGCAGUCCUCUAAUUCAUCUUAUCCAAACUUCUACCUUUCCAGCAACGCCGGAGGCAGUUGACGGGCGGCGCCCCUGUCGUCGGACGGCUACAACGGUGAUGGAGGAGAAGGUGGACGUCGUGGGUGCGUGCUUGGGUAAGGGAGGCCACCCUUGCUGUGCUCGUGGGCGUUCAUGGAGGAUGGAAGGGGGGACAACUUCCUGUGGAUGCGCAGGCUAUGCUCGUGGGUGUUCAUGGAGGAUGGAAGAUGCAGCAGGCAGUGCAGAUGUACCAUAUUCUGAAUUUUGAAUCUUGUCUCCUGAACUACUCCUCGCCGCCACCACUUCUACUACCGGUGGUAACCCUCGUCGCCACACCUGGAACCGGUUGUCCGUCAAUAGAAGGCGGUCUGUGUCCAUGCUCCGCUGAUCACCCAGUCACAUCCUCUGUAUGUGGAGAAUGCCUUUAUUCUUCUGUUUGAAAAAUCUGAAAUUCUGAAGCAACCGUAUUGGUUCACACAUGCACCAUCUUGGUAUUAACCAAAUCGAACAUCAACAAAAUAAAAGCAGACAAUAGAGAUACUAAUGUGAACCUGUGUGCAUUAUAUAGAAAUUUUGGUUGUUACUCCUUGUAGUACUUAUCUUCCGAUACAUGUACAGAACUCAUGUUUUUCUUUAGUAUUCAUCUUCCUGUACACGUACAGAAUUGAUGCACGGAAGAACAUCAUAUGGAAGACAGGCUCCAUUCAGUCAA
Molecule: non-coding RNA, 3568 nt
Organism: Triticum urartu
Lineage: Eukaryota; Viridiplantae; Streptophyta; Magnoliopsida; Poales; Poaceae
Source: RefSeq, a predicted model, not a curated record